GAUGAACGCUAGCGGCAGGCCUAAUACAUGCAAGUCGAGGGGUAAUUCUGCUUUCGGGCAGAAACGACCGGCGCACGGGUGCGUAACGCGUAUGCAACCUACCCACAACUGGGGGAUAGCCCGGAGAAAUCCGGAUUAAUACCCCAUAACGCAGGGGUACCGCAUGGUACUAUUUGUUAAAGAUUUAUCGGUUGUGGAUGGGCAUGCGUCUGAUUAGUUAGUUGGUGAGGUAACGGCUCACCAAGGCGAUGAUCAGUAGGGGGUCUGAGAGGAUGAUCCCCCACACUGGUACUGAGAUACGGACCAGACUCCUACGGGAGGCAGCAGUAGGGAAUAUUGGUCAAUGGGCGAAAGCCUGAACCAGCCAUGCCGCGUGCAGGAUGACGGCCUUCUGGGUUGUAAACUGCUUUUAUACAGGAAGAAAAAGGUCAUGCGUGGCCAAUUGACGGUACUGUAAGAAUAANCACCGGCUAACUCCGUGCCAGCAGCCGCGGUAAUACGGAGGGUGCAAGCGUUGUCCGGAUUUAUUGGGUUUAAAGGGUGCGUAGGCGGAUUAUUAAGUCAGUGGUGAAAGUUUGCGGCUCAACCGUAAAAGUGCCAUUGAUA
Molecule: ribosomal RNA, 606 nt
Filed under: uncultured bacterium
Lineage: Bacteria
Description: bacterial SSU rRNA
Rfam family: Bacterial small subunit ribosomal RNA
Source: RNAcentral